This 4407-nucleotide long non-coding RNA is filed under the name Brassica napus (rape). Its description in RNAcentral is "long non-coding RNA (BNAP_LNC016426)". Lineage: Eukaryota; Viridiplantae; Streptophyta; Magnoliopsida; Brassicales; Brassicaceae. The record is from RNAcentral.
GUGAUCUCUCGUCGACGGAAUCAAUCGGCGUCGGUGUACUCGUCGUCUCUCACCCUCUCCUCGACGGAAUCAAGCAGAAUCAAUCGAUGAUCUCUCGACGACUCCGCGUCUCUGUCUCUCACCUCGACGACAGCUCGUCUCUCUCCCUCUCCUCGAGGAGACCCCGUCUCUCUCUCUCUUCUCGACGAUACCUCGUCUCUCUCUGUCUCCUCGACGAUGCCGCAUCUCUAUCUCUCUCCGCCUCUCCUCCAAUCGAAAGGUAAUCAAUCAUUUGUUCUUGUGUUCUUCUUUCAUGCAUGUCUUUGAUUAGGCUUCUUCUUGUUCUGAUCGCAUGUUUGAUUUGUUUUGUCGGUUCAAUUCUGUCUCGCGGUGAUUCUCUACGACGGCGACGGAGCUCUCUGCGGUGGCUCUCCCCGGAUCAAAAGGUAAAGCUUCUGUUUCAUGUAUUUGAAUCAAUGAUGUCUAAGAUUGUGGUUCUUCUGUUACGAUAUUGAUUUGUUUGUUCAGUUCGAUACCGUCUGUAGAUUGAUUGGUUUGUUGUGUUCGAUUAAUUGUGAUUUGCUUGCUGGUAGUUUAUUAAUUUAGAUUUGGUUUCUGUUUGUUGAUAUAAUUUUUUGUUUCUGUGUUUGCCGUUUUGAGAUGGAGAGGAUCAAAUACGUUAUGCAUACACGGUGAAGGUUCAUCGAUCAAAGGACUCCAAUCACAAAACAAGGUUAGUGUAACAAUCUUGGCAAUAUGUUUGCGUCUGUGAUGAACUGAAUAGAGUUGCAUUGAGUUGAAUAGAGUUAGCGUCUGUGAUGAAUUGAAUCUUGGCAAUUAAUGAGUUGGUCAGUGCACGUUUAUGGUUGCGGUUGAUUAAGAUGAAUGGCUGCUGUAUGUUGUGUGACUAAUGGUAAGGUAGGAAACUAUGUUCUGUUAGGUGUGAUUAAACAAAUGUGAUUGUGAAGCUGGUUUAAGUGUUAUAAAUGAAUUAGAUAUAUGUCUACUCGAAUUGGUUGUGGGUGUGAUCAAUGCCUCUUAUCUCAGCUGAUCAAAUGUUCCUUUCUUUCUCUCUUCUUUAAAUUCAUUCGUUUCUUCUCUUCCUUUUACAACUCCUAAACUCGCCUAUCUUCUCUUCUUGCUUUCUUAUCAUAACUUCCAUCUCUCUUCUCAUCAACUUCUCAUCAACUUUUAGAUAUGGAUCUUCUUCAAAGUCAACAAGAAUCUUCCAUCGGUUUAGAAUCUUCUUCUAUUCCUCUCUUUGGCACACAAGCUUCAGAAGGUUCUAACUUCGAACAAGAAAAUCCUGCAGCGCGUACACCAAGAAGGGCGUGGACACCAACAGACGAUGUUGUUCUCAUAAGCUCGUGACUAAACACGAGUAAAGACCCAUUGGUCGGGAAUGAGCAACGCUUUGUUGCCUUCUGGAAACGCAUAGCAUCGUUCUUCUCGGCGAGUCCCAAGCUGGCUGGGUGUGAAAAAAGAGAGUCCUCGAAAUGUAAGCAGUGGUGGCACAAAAUUAACGAUUUAUGUGCAAGUUCUGUGGUGCUUACGAGGCUGCAACCAGAGAGAACAGUAGUGGACAAAACGAGAAUGAUGUUCUCAAAGUAGCCCAUGAAUUUUUUUACAACUUCUAUAAGAAAAAGUUCACGCUUGAACAUGCUUGGAAAGAUUUCCGCAAUGACCAUAAGUGGUGUGAGCUCUCCACAGGUAAAAAUGAAGGAAGCUCCAAAAAAAGAAAAUGUGAUGACGGUUUUGAUUCAGCAAGCUCUCAAGCUUUAGAUGAUGAAGGAACCAUCCGUCCCCUCGGUGUGAAGGCAGCAAAAGCGCGAGGUAAGAAGCCGAUGGGUGAUGUGAAGGAGCUCUCUGCCUUGCAAACUAUGUGGAGCAUCAAGCAACAUGAUUUGGCAAUGAAGGAAAAUGUCUCCAAGAUGAAGCUACUUGAGAGUCUUGUUGCAAAACAAGUGCCGCUAGAUGAUUAUGAGGAAGCUUUGAGAAAGAAGCUCAUAAAUGAGUUGAUGUCUACUUAGUUUAAGUGUGGGUCUCGGUCUUAGUCUCGGUUUAAGCUCUAAGUGUGGGUCUCGGUCUUAGUCUCAGUUUAAGAUCUUAAGAAGUUUAAAAUGUGUCUUGUUCUUGGUUAAUGUUUCUCUGGUUGUUGGAUUUUCAUGUUGUUAAAAUGCUUUCAUGUUCCUCUGCUUAAUGGAUUUUCAUGUUUUCAUGUUGGUUAAUGUUUCUCUGCUUUCAUGUUCCUCGGCUUAAUGGAUUUUCAUGUUUUCUCUGGUUGUUGAUACUUAUUACAUGUUCUAUGUCAUUGUCUCAGGUGAAGAAGACUGCUUGAGGAGAGUGAGAUCAUCACAUGAUAAUAAGGUAAUGGGACUACUCAUUACCAUCAGAGCCACAUACCAUGUUCCGUUUAAAACGAAUAAAAUACGUGGCAUUGGUAGUAAUGAGUGUUCCCGCUACCGUAUUCGGUUGAAGAUUCACGGGUGUUGUAUGUGACGUUGAAAGAGCUAGAGUGAGAUGUACUCGGCUGUGUCAGGUUCACGGGUGUUGUAUUAUUGUGCAUGGGUGUUGUUGUGUCACAUGUAAUAUAUUGUAAUUUCACGGGUAUGUAUUAUGCAUGGGUGUUGUAUGUAUUAUGAUCACGGGUCUUGUAUGUAUUAUUGAUCACGGGUGUCACUUGUAUUAUAAAGUCACCAAACUCAUCUCAUCUCAUCUCAUCUCAUAUCACUUAUUCUCUUCUCAUCUCAUCUCAUCCCAUAUCACAUCUUCACUUCUUCACCAACUCAUCUCUUGUUUUCACAAACUCAUUACAAACACAUCACAAACUCAUCUUCACUUCUCGUCUCAUCUCAUCUAUUCACAAACUCAUCACAAAAUCAUCUAUGGCAUCUUCAUCUCAUAACAAUUUAGAGGAAGUAGAUGAUGAAAGUUUUGAUCAAUGUUUUGAUCAAUAUUUUGAUCAAACGUUGGAGAAUCUUUGCAUUCAUCAUUUUGAUCAGGAGGAAGCAAGGAAGAGAAGGAAAAAAUGAGUUAUAUCAAAAGAAAUUGUGAAGCAGGCCAUGUACGUCUGUGGAAUGAUUAUUUCAGUGAAACUCCAACAUAUCCUAAAAAUCUUUUCCGUCGACGAUUUAGAAUGAACAAGCCAUUAUUCAUGCAUAUUGUUGAUCGACUCUUCAGUGAAGUUCAAUACUUUCGUCAAAGGGAAGAUGGUCUUGGGAGGCUUGGUGUCUCUUCACUCCAAAAAUGUACGGCGGCUAUUCAUGUCUUGGCGUAUGGUACUGCGGCUGAUACGAUCGACGAAUAUCUUCGGCUCGGUGAAACUACAACUCGGUUAUGUUUGGAAAAUUUUGUAGAAGGAAUAAUCAAUUUAUUCGGCGAUGAAUACCUAAGAAGACCAACACCGGCUGAUCUUCAAUGUCUACUUGAUAUUGGGGAGCAUCAUGGAUUUUUCGGGAUGAUAGGAAGCAUCGACUGUAUGCAUUGGGAGUGGAAGAAUUGUCCCACCGCUUGGAAAGGACAAUAUUCUCGUGGUUCAGGAAAACCAACGAUCAUUUUAGAGGCGGUUGCUUUAUAUGAUCUCUGAAUAUGGCACACGUUUUUUUGACCUCCAGGUACAUUAAACGAUAUUAAUGUUCUUGAUCGCUCACCUGUUUUUGGAUAUUAUAAGGGGUCAUGCCCCGGAAGUCACUUACUAUGUCAAUGGAAGAGAAUAUCAUUUGGCUUACUAUCUCACCGAUGGUAUUUACCCGAAAUGGGCAACUUUUAUCCAAUCUAUUCCAAUACCACAAGGGCCGAAAGCAGUUUUAUUUGCUCAGCAUCAAAAAGCUAUCCGAAAGGAUGUCGAUCGUGCUUUUGGAGUCUUGCAAGUUCGCUUCGCCAUUGUUAAAAAUCCGGUCCUUUUUUGGGAUAAAGUUAAAAUUGGAAAGAUAAUGCAAACAUGUAUCAUAUUCCAUAAUAUGAUAGUAGAAGACGAACGAGAUGGAUACACUCAAUUUGAUGUCUCGGAGUUCCAACAAGGAGAAAGAGGCGUCUCUACUUAACACGUGUCACGCUUUUAUGGCUCUUUCUCCCCCGAGACGAGGCCAAACCUCUCUUUUGGUCAUUCAUCGUUGACUCCGCUUCUCUCUCUCUCGUGAUCUUUCCUCUCCGCAACGAUGAUCUGGCGUCGAGUCGAGGGAAUCGAGCGGUGAUCUCUCGUCGACGGAAUCAAUCGGCGUCGGUGUACUCGUCGUCUCUCACCCUCUCCUCGACGGAAUCAAGCAGAAUCAAUCGAUGAUCUCUCGACGACUCCGCGUCUCUGUCUCUCACCUCGACGACAGCUCGUCUCUCUCCCUCUCCUCGAGGAGACCCCGUCUCUCUCUCUCUUCUCGACGAUACCUCGUCUCUCUCUGUCUCCUCGACGAUGCCGCAUCUCUAUCUCUCUCC